Equus caballus (horse) is the source of this 7572-nucleotide non-coding RNA. The record is from RefSeq and is a predicted model, not a curated record. Lineage: Eukaryota; Metazoa; Chordata; Mammalia; Perissodactyla; Equidae.
GCAGGCGCCGCCUGUUCUAUUUGCUCUGUUCCGUCGAGAGGGGCCGUCAGACCGUGAUGAGUCGGGGUGAGGGUGGGGCGUCUGUCCUUACGGCCAGCUGUGGCUCAGGUCCCCUCCCAACCUCCCCUGAGGUCCGUCCCGGGGGUCGCACAGGAGCCGGGUGGACUGCGCUGGCCUUGCUGCACAGAGAAGGUGGGUUGUCAGGGCAACGGGAAGGGGAGCCACCGUUUCCCACUUGAAAUGGGGCAUCCGACCUCAGCCUGAGCACCUGGGCAUGCACACGGAGCCGGCGAGUCAGGACGGAGGGCCUCGCGCGGCGGGCUCCCCCUGCUGGUCCCCGCUCUGACCGUGGUGCAUUUGCGGGCGAGCAGGGUGCCUGUCCUCGCUGUUUCCACCAGCUGAUGAUGGUCAUACAUGAAUUUUUACAAGGAGGUUAUAAGGUAAAUGUCUCCAGCUGACUUCCAGUUGCCCGGAAGCGGAUGGCAGACUAACCAAGGAGCGGCUAGGGUAUGGCCGAGUGGUUGCCAUCGGGCUCAGCCGAGACUUCCUUCUCCCAAGACACGAGGGCUUUUAGCUUUCACCUCCACCUGCCUGUGCCUGCCAGGUGUCAGCCUGGGAUGGGCCGCUCUCCUCGGUGCAGGUCCUCAAGAUCUGUGCUGGGGAUGCUCGGGGAGCAUGGCGGCUGUCUGGGUCCUGCAGGAGGAGGCGCUGACCGGCCAUCCUGGGGAAAUGCUGAGUUUGGUUGGUGCUCAUUGUGGGUGUGAGAGAACGAGGUGUUGCCCCGUUUCUCUCCGUGGCGUGGGGGGCGCCCCGUCCCAGGCCCCCGGGGGCGAGUGUGUGUGGCUGCAGUGGUUUUCUAGGGCCAGUGGAUGAAGCAGAGGCUAUCUGCCGCCACUGUGGAUGUUGGGGAUUUCGGAAGUGUAUCUUUAAUUUUUCUCCAAUUUAAAAAACAAUAUUUUUACAACUUUGUUUUCAUGAGCGCUAAAAUAUCCUCAGUUUUUGUGUUGGAGUGAUGAAAAUUACUUGUGGCUAAUAAAGACUAAAAUGGAAAGUGACGUUACGUUCUCUCUAUUUUCGUGUACUUGAUUCAGAGCCGUUUCCAGGGCCUGAGGUGGGCGGUGGAGUCAGACCCGGGACUGAGCAUCCCACGGCGCUGACUAGCUGCGUAGUCUUGGGCAUGCUUUUAGAAACGUGUUUAGGCUUCGUUUUCUGCAUCUGAAAAAUGGGGGUAGCAUCGCUUACACAGGUGUGAAUUUGAAGCCGAGUAGCGUUUGUAAAAGCAUCAAACACGUGAGCAAAGUGCAGAUGGUCAGCGCUCAGAACAUCAGUCCCUUCCGCCGCGGACCCAGCACUCCUGCUUGUCGGUGGAAAUUGUUGGGCUUGUGAUGAUCCCGGGACGUCCCGGAGGUGGUUCCAGGGCAUUUGGGGCGCGUGGAAUUUGCGUAGAUGAGGCCAGCAACGGGCCUCCACUGAGGGGACGACUGGACAGGAUUUCUGGCUGUCGGGGAAGGAGCGGCUGGGAUGUGACUGGGACUCUGUGGCCGUAUGGGGAGGUUGGCGGAGUGUUCUCCCUUCGGGGUCUGGACGCCUGCUUCAUCUCCUUCCAGAUGCUCCUAAUUCAGGCGUGGACUCCGUGUGUGAUCAGUUCCAGGGGGGCGGGCCCAGUUCCCCUCUGCGCCCCCAGACGUGGCUGGUCUGUGUUUGUCAUCGAGAACGACUUUGGAAUGAGAGGGCUGAUUUGUGGGCGUUUUUCCUACUGUCUCCAUGUCUGGCAGCCUUGCCCCCACUGUGGGCAUGUCCAGGAGGCCUUUGGUGCGUCUCUGCUGGGAACCACCCCAGGAAUGGGACCAGGGGGCCUGGGUAGCCCCCAAACACUGAUUCCACCCACAUUCGGUCCAGCAGUAGGACCCGUGGGCUGUGGGCCUGGCUCUUGGGCCUCUGGGACCCCAAGCAGCUUGCGGAGCAGGGAGAGAUGGGCGUACUCCCAUCGUGGCUGCCCUGGGUGGUUUCUCCCCCUCCGGCCUUGGCUCCUCUGUCUCAGUCCCACCCCAGCAGAGGCCCAGAUGCUCCUGCAGCGAGUCCUGCACCUGAGUGAGGUCAUGGGGCGGGUGGUGACCCUGUAGGAUGCGGCCAUGAUGGGUGGAUUUUUGUCUUCAGAUUAUUUCUUCCAGUGUGGGUCACUGUCCACUGUGUCUUUCAUGAGUCUGGACGUUGGAGCGGGCAGCCACGCCUGCUCCUGCGUUGUCAUUGCCGUCACACAGCUCCCGUCGCAGCUGAGUUGAGAGCCGGGAAGGGAGCCCUGUCCCAUCUGUUUGCAGUGCGUGUGCCGACUGCCAGGUGAGGUCGGCUCGUGGGGUCUGGUGCUCCGUUAUUGCUAUUGUGUUUUAACCUCCUUGCUUUUAGUAUUCUAAAUUCCCCACCUUUCUUGUAAGAGUCUGCCCUUUAGUUUUCCAUAAGUCGGGGUGAGAAGUUGGCGGAACCCUUACCGGUCGGGCUGUGAGCUGAACUGAGACAUCGUGUGGGCUCCCGGCGUUUAGCCAGCAGAGGCUAGAGAACUGGGUGGGGAAUGGGUUGUCUUAAAGUAUUAUUUCCUGACAUCAUAAGUAAAAUCUGCCUGUUUCUGGGCAUAUGCUAAAAUGAGAGUUGGAAAUAUCCAGAAAAAACCUUUAUUCCCAAAGUUUUGUGUCAGCACUCAUCAUAGCGGGCAUCGCACCCUGGUGGGUGGGCAGGGGGUGUGCCGGCGGCCGGAGGCUGUGAGCCGCUUGUCCCGUGAUUGAGAUGUGAUUGUGGUGGCUUCUCCAAGCGCCCGGAGAGCAUGAAGAGUAGCUGAGCGACUCACGAGUUUGCACACCAGAUCAGGAGUGGGUACCGAGCCUCGGGGCCCGACAGUGUCUGCCUGGCUGCCCUGCGGCGCUGAGUCGCAGGCGCGUGUGAGGAAGUGCCGGGCCCACGGAGCUCUCGGUGGCUUGUCUCUGAGCCAUGGGUUCACACAUGCCGUCGCGGGGAGUGGGUUUCUGCUCAGGGAAGAUGCUGGAAGAUGCUGCGAGCGUGACGGCUCCUCCUCUUGCCCCCCACGGACAGGCGGCUGUGAUGAGCAAGCCUGGUCUCAGGCUCCGCACGGCCUUCCCGCUGCAUCCCGUGGGGACCCUCCUCCUGUGGGCUCCACUGCGGGCUCAGCUGGGGGCGCCCCGAGCCCCAGGUGCCCGAGUGGUGGCUGUCGUCUCCACUGGACCGCCAGGCUGGGGAGCGCGGGCGUGUGGGUGUGAGGAAGCUGAUCACAUGUCUGAAGAGAGAAGAAACGGCCUCACGGCAGAGCAGAGGCAACGCACGCACCCUGCCUCCCUUCGCCGGACGCCCCAGCCUCCCAGAGCGCUGGAGACUCCUCGGCCCCAGUGAGCGUGGCUGCACGUCCUCCCAGAGGGGCCCAGGGAAGGAGACGCGUGCUGUGUCGCAGGGCGUCCCUCGUUCCUGGUCGGUGUGAGGGCCGGCGAGUGUGGGGGCCGCUGUGGGGGGCAGGGGGCUUUGCCUUGUUUCUGGCUCCGACCUCCAGCUGCUCAGGCUGGUUGUUAAUGGUGAGCUUUUCCAGGGCCAAGCCUUUUGUUAUUGCGAUACUUGGGGUGCCCGUUGGGCCCACACCCCAGCAGACGUGGCUCGUGGUUGGAGAAUCGAGGAGAAGACAAUACUUUAGGGACGUGAUGUUUGACAGUGUCAGCUCCGCGGUGCAGGGCGCGCUGGGGGUCCCCGAGCCCCUGACUCUGCCUCGUCUGCUCAGGGUAGGCCGCUCACGGCAAGUUCGCAGAAGAAAGUGGUAGUAGUUGCAGAUGUUUGAAUUAAGAGAACCAUUAAAUAUGUGAGCACUGCUCAGGCAGUAGCAACAGCCCGUAUGGAGAGAUCCUUUCUGGAUGGCUCUGGAAGCUUCUAGAACAACAGAGUCCUUAUUUCAUGGGUCUAAUGACAGUGACUUGGCUACUAAAUCCACAGGUGGUUUUAUCACUAGGUCAUCACCCUUUGACUGCUUUUUCCGUUAGAGAACUUUUGUCCUUUUUAUUUUGAGUCCUUCAACUUGAUUCUUUUACUCUGUGAGUUGUCCGCAGUGGGCCAGCAUCCUACCUGUUAAUGGUCAUUGUUUGCUGAAUACAACCUGUUCAAAAUAUCGUUUGUGGCUCAAAACAUGGCCCUGUUUUACCAGUUGUGUUGUGGGUGUGCAUUGAUCUGGGUGGGCCCUUGAAAAACGCCCUGAGGACACAGGAAGCCGUGAUUUCAGGGAACAAACGAGGACGCAGCAGCCCUGUGGGUGCAGGAGGGUGAGUGCCACUGGCCGUCACUCCAGCCGCACCACAACCUGAACCACAAGAGCAUCGUCCUACUUGUCAGCUGGCGGCCCUCGACACUGUUGUUGACAGAGUGGAGGGUUCUCCCCAGCCGUCGUGGCGGUGCUGUCCUGCCUCACGGGAGGGACGUGCGAAGUCCCCUCAGGCUCUUCACGGGAGGGCGGACUCGUGAGAGCCUGGGGCGAGGUGGGUGGGGUGCUCCACGCUGGGCCUUCCUGUCCUGCUGGCUGCCCGGAUGUCCGGGGCGUGGGGGACGCGAGUGGAGAUGGCUAGGGCUGCUUUUGUUUUGAUUGCACUGUAAAGACUAUUUCCUUAUGGGUUUAAAAAUGAAUCAAGGACCUUUCCCUGCUUCUGGACUGAUGCUGGAACUUCAGACAGUUUCCCGUGAAAGGGUGUUUGGUGGAGACACUGCCACACUUUCAGGUAAAAAGCCAAGUUGACAUACCUUGCAGUGCUUUCCAGAAUCAUUGCUCCCAUCCACGUCCUGACCGGCCGGCCCUGCUUAGCUUCUGAGAUCACACGAGCUGGGCGUGCUCAGGGUGGUGUGGCCGUGACCGAAGAUGGUUCUGCUCGCUGCGGGGACGUGUGCUCUGCCUUUGUGCGACAUAUCCAACUGUCUGCGCAGAACCUCUGUGCUAUCGUGCUUCCGGGAGAGGCCCCACCCAGGCAGUCGCAGGCGGAGACCCCUGGCGUUUGGGGUUGGCGAGCUGAUAAAGUGCCCACACACCCACCUCCAGCGAGACCCGGCCUCCACUGGCAGCUCUGCUCACCGUGGAACAUCCAGGACGGCGCUUCCGGAGCCUCUGAAAGCCGCCAGCUGGCGUCCGUCCACGUGACACAUGACAGUUGUCCUUGUGGUGGCUGGACAGGCACCUGAUCGACGCCUCUCGAGACCUGGAGACCUGGGCUCAGUGGUGAGGCCUCUUCUGGAGUUGGCCCCAGCUGAUGCCCGGGUGGGUUUCUGUGGGGAUUGCUUGCCCGUCCAGGAUGUCCAGUCCUUCUUCCAGCACGCUGUGCAGCCAGCGCUCCUCCCACAGGCCUGGAUGAACUUCCCGAGAGCCCCUGGGGGGCCCAAAGCUGUACCCUGAAGUCAGCUGUGGAGCCACGAGGAGAAUGUCCCCGUGGACUCAGACGCCUCCCUGCGCAGAGUGGCUUUGAGGCCGGACAGGCUGGAACAGGUGCCUUUGUCUGCUCAGCACUGGACGCUCACAUGUGCCUCUCCUGCGGCCAGGCCUGGCAUUCAGGUCCAGUGGCCACUGGGUGACCGCAAAGCCACGUCGGGGUGGGAGCAGCCUGCAGGGGCUGGGAGCAGGCAUUGGUGUGUGCCUUUAAAGCUGUCACUCUCGCAUCCUCUGCCAGCGGCCAGGUGAAGGCCCUGUGCCCAGCCUGUGUGCAUGUGGGGCAGGUGCACCUCCCGCCUCUAGGCGACAGGGGCUGAGUUCACCGGGAUGGUGUAGGACUGCUGACUUACGGGGGCAGAGCAGGAGUGGAGAGGCAGAAAAGCGCGCACCAUCCAUGGGGAGAGGAACCCAAUCACUCUGACCCCAUUACUUUCUAGAAAGAUCCGAGGACGAAGCCCAGCCCCCACUUCCUUGCUCUGUGCAUCACACGGCGUCUCUCUCCAAGUGUGAAGGUGACGGUGUUGACGGAGAAUUACCAAAACUGCUUCUUUUCAGAAAGAGCGCCUUGCGUUUGCUUGUCCACCUCCGUUGGAUGUACGGGGUCCGCAUCUGCCUGCUCACGCGGAGCAGGUGGUCGUGGACGUGGUCGGUGCUGGGGCCUGGCGGACACUCACCUUUUGCCUAGCAGCAGCUGGGCUCCGGAAGGAAGCAGGUGCCCCUGUCGCCAGGUUCUGGGACAAUGGGAGCCGCGCCCUCCAGCAGGGCAUGGAUGGGUCUCUGGAGAGAGGAGCUUCCCCAUCAGUCUGAUGCCCAUCCCCGCCGACUGUGACGGUGGCCGGGGCGUGGUCCAUGUGUGGCCCAGCAGCCUCUGCCUGCCCCGCUCCUUGGCCUUAUCUUCAUUAAAUGAGUUCUGAAGACGGAGAAAGGCUGGGUUUUCAGAGAGGCUUAGGACAUUGCUGUCAAGGUGCCCCCUGCCCCAGGCGGGCGGCGUCUCCAGGCCGGUUGGUGCGUGUUGCCCGUCUGCGAGGUCAGCUGCCUCGUGGGUUUAUGUCAGUGCCCGUUUGUGUUUGAACGUCAUUUCUAGAGAAAAGGAAGCUCUCCCUUUUUUUUCUGUUGGUCACAAUGGGAUCUCUCGGGGAUUAUAGAUCCAAACCUGGACACACUGUGGCAAAAGGAACACAGGCAACUGCCUGACUUCAAGGUUCUUGCGUGUGUAGGUUCUGAGUUAGCCGGGCUGGGGCGCGAGGCUGCGUGGCUGCUUUUCCUUCAUUUGGUCCUCGAGGGGUUCUUUCUGGGCUGGAUGGAGUGUGGACCAGGCACAGGAGGCCUGCGUUCUGGGGAGUGUCUCUGUGCUGUCGUGCUGAAGGGCUGUGGUCCAUUUCCUCAAACAGGUAGAGGAUGUCAGACAGUUACCGUAGUACCCGAAAGAAAUAGGUUUGUUCACGGCAGCGUUAUUGACAGUAGCCAAGAUGUGGGAAUGACCUAAGUGUCUGUGAUGGAUUAUGGAUAAAGGAGGUGUGGUGUAUACACGACAGAAUGUUACUCAGCCAAGAAAAAGGAUGACAUCCGAACAUUUACACCAACAUGGAUGGACCUCGGGGGCCUGUGCUAAGUGAGAUGAGUCAGACAGAGAAGGACAAAUUCCAAGUGAUCAUUUAUAUGUGGAUCUAAAAAGCAAGGAAACCGAGCUCAGACACAGAACAGACUGGUGGUUGCAGAGGCAGGCGUGGGGGUGGGAGAAAUGGGUCAAUUGUUGGUUUGGUUUUUUUAGUUUAAAUAAAUUGAAUUUCUUUUGAAAACAAAUGAAAAAUAAAGAAAUGCUCCUAAAAAAGAAAUAGGUUUGUGGUAGAUGGCAAAAUGAUAAAGGAUGUAAGAAACAUUUUUAGGAUAGAUAGCCACCCAAUUUUGUUCUUACAUUUAACAUCAUGUCCCUUAAAACUAUAUAGUCAUCCGACAUAGGAAAUUUUCAGCAGAUUCAUUUAGGUAUUGUAUCUCUUAUAUUUAAUUGAAUUUCUCAUUGAAAUACUGUGUCUCAGGGAUUAAUUUCAAAGAGUUUUUUAAAAAUUUUAUUGAUAUGUAACAUUAAUCUUUUUUUCUUUUCUUUUUUUUUUUUUGAGGAA